Molecule: ribosomal RNA, 365 nt
Filed under: uncultured bacterium
Lineage: Bacteria
Description: bacterial SSU rRNA
Rfam family: Bacterial small subunit ribosomal RNA
Source: RNAcentral
AUUGAACGCUGGCGGCAUGCCUUACACAUGCAAGUCGAACGGCAGCACGGGAGCAAUCCUGGUGGCGAGUGGCGAACGGGUGAGUAAUAUAUCGGAACGUGCCCAGUCGUGGGGAUAACGUAGCGAAAGCUACGCUAAUACCGCAUACGAUCUAUGGAUGAAAGCGGGGGAUCGCAAGACCUCGCGCGAUUGGAGCGGCCGAUAUCAGAUUAGGUAGUUGGUGAGGUAAAGGCUCGCCAAGCCGACGAUCUGUAGCUGGUCUGAGAGGACGACCAGCCACACUGGGACUGAGACACGGCCCAGACUCCUACGGGAGGCAGCAGUGGGGAAUUUUGGACAAUGGGCGCAAGCCUGAUCCAGCAAUG